CAUCCACAACCCACACACCUGUGCACCAAAGGGACGCGGGUGGAUAACGCACGCCGUCUCGCUUUAACAAGCUCAAAAGUCUAUUUGAAUGUCAUUUAUUCGGGCUAGCCCCGAUGUAACUUAAACAUAACAACUUCAACAACGGAUCUCUUGGCUCUCGCAUCGAUGAGGAACGCAGCGAAAGCGAUAAGUAAUGUGAAUUGCAGAAUUCAGUGAAUCAUCGAAUCUUUGACGCAUCUUGCGCCCAUUGGUAUUCCGAUGGGCAUGCCUGUUUGAGUGUCUGAAAUCAUCAAGCCCGUUCGGUUUCACCGCCGAGCGUGGGUUGGACUUGGGGCUUGCCGCUUCGCCGCGGCUCCCCUUAAAUGCAUCGGUUUCGGGUUCUGUGGGAGUAACCCCUUGGGCGUUGUAUAACCCUCGCUGUCUGGGAAUCCACGCGACGUCCGCGUCGUUGAAGGGCCUUGAAGAAACCUCGACCUGUGUAGAGUGGCGGUCAUUGUUAAAUCGAAAUCUGACCUCAAAUCAGGUAGACUACCCGCUGAACUUAAGCAUAUCAAUAAGCGGAGGAAAAGGGACCG
This 575-nucleotide ribosomal RNA is filed under the name uncultured fungus. RNAcentral describes it as "eukaryotic LSU rRNA". The stretch from base 131 to 282 matches the Rfam family "5.8S ribosomal RNA". The record is from RNAcentral. Lineage: Eukaryota; Fungi.